AAAAGCAGUUAUAAUAAAAUGUAUUCUGUGAUUUAAUAAAAUUUCAUAAAUAUAAAAACCAUUUAAAAAAGGGAUGUCCUAAAAGAAAAAAAAAGGGGGGGGAGUUCCUUUUGUGACUCAAGGAAUUAAGAAUCCCAGUAAUUUACAUGAGGAUACAAGUUCGAUCCCUGUCCUCACUCAGUGGAUUAAGGAUCUGGCAUUGCCGUGAGCUGCAGCAUAGGUUGCAGAUAUGGCUCAGAUCCCACGCUGCUGUGGCUGUGGCAUAGGCCUCAGCUGCAGCUCCAAUUAGACCCCUAGCCUGGGAACUUCCACAUGCUGUGGGUGUGGCCCUAAAAAGAAAAAAAAAAUAAAAGAAGUGAUGCCCUUCCCUGAAUGUCUCUUGUCUCUUCUGUCUUCAGGUUCUUGGUCCUGCUGUUACCCUGAUGCCACCAUCUUCCUCCUCGACUUUCCCCAGUCCAUCUUCCAAAGAAAUGGAAUUCUAGCCUGUAUCGAUACAGCUGGCACACCAGGAAAGCCUGGUUUUCCUAGGAAAACACAACAGAAGCUGCUGCAGAUGUGGGUUCCUGAGUCCACUCUGGGACCAACUCCACAGACAUCUCUGGUGGCAGUAGGGGGACUUCUGAGAAUGCUUCAGGCCCAGACACCUUCCAGCAAGGGAUGGUGA
This 664-nucleotide long non-coding RNA is filed under the name Sus scrofa (pig). RNAcentral's name for it is "lncRNA (ENSSSCG00065037790.1)". Lineage: Eukaryota; Metazoa; Chordata; Mammalia; Artiodactyla; Suidae. The record is from RNAcentral.